UAGAAUUUAGUUGAUAAACAACAGUAGAUUGCAAGUCUAAAAGUUAUAAUUCUAU
Molecule: transfer RNA, 55 nt
Filed under: Hirudinaria manillensis
Lineage: Eukaryota; Metazoa; Annelida; Clitellata; Hirudinida; Hirudinidae
Description: tRNA-Cys
Source: RNAcentral